CCAGAUAGCUCAGAUGGUAGAGCGGAGGACUGAAAAUCCUUGUGUCCCUGGUUCGAUUCCUGGUCUGGC
Molecule: transfer RNA, 69 nt
Filed under: human gut metagenome
Also listed under: 1 other name
Rfam family: tRNA
About the family: Transfer RNA (tRNA) molecules are approximately 80 nucleotides in length. Their secondary structure includes four short double-helical elements and three loops (D, anti-codon, and T loops). Further hydrogen bonds mediate the characteristic L-shaped molecular structure. tRNAs have two regions of fundamental functional importance: the anti-codon, which is responsible for specific mRNA codon recognition, and the 3' end, to which the tRNAs corresponding amino acid is attached (by aminoacyl-tRNA synthetases). tRNAs cope with the degeneracy of the genetic code in two manners: having more than one tRNA (with a specific anti-codon) for a particular amino acid; and 'wobble' base-pairing, i.e. permitting non-standard base-pairing at the 3rd anti-codon position.
Source: RNAcentral